CUGUGCUAGGUGGGGAGCUAGCGGUGCCCUGUACCCGCAAUCCGCUACAGCGGGACCGAACUCCCACCGGAGGUCCCUUGGGACUGGUGCUAACGCUCCGGUAAGCGGUGUUGAAGGCUGGGUCCCACGCAACGGAAAUUUGUGAACCCCGUCAGGUCCGGGAGGAAGCAGCGGUAAGCAAAACCUUUCGUGUGCCGUGGAGCAACCUGGUUGGAGCUGGCUGCAGGGGUGGAGCCCGAUUCGGGGGGUCAAUGGUGGGUGCACAG
RNAcentral lists this signal recognition particle RNA (266 nucleotides) under Actinomycetes bacterium. Its description in RNAcentral is "signal recognition particle sRNA large type". It matches the Rfam family "Bacterial large signal recognition particle RNA". Rfam says of the family: The signal recognition particle (SRP) is a universally conserved ribonucleoprotein involved in the co-translational targeting of proteins to membranes. Archaeal SRP consists of a 7S RNA and homologues of the eukaryotic SRP19 and SRP54 proteins. Lineage: Bacteria; Bacillati; Actinomycetota; Actinomycetes. The record is from RNAcentral. RNAcentral also lists the same sequence under 1 other name.